GAUGAACGCUGACAGAAUGCUUAACACAUGCAAGUCAACUUGGACUUCGGUUUGGGUGGCGGACGGGUGAGUAACGCGUAAAGAACUUGCCUCACAGAUAGGGACAACAUUUGGAAACGAAUGCUAAUACCUGAUAUUAUGAUUUUAGGGCAUCCUAGAAUUAUGAAAGCUAUAUGCGCUGUGAGAGAGCUUUGCGUCCCAUUAGCUAGUUGGAGAGGUAACGGCUCACCAAGGCGAUGAUGGGUAGCCGGCCUGAGAGGGUGAUCGGCCACAAGGGGACUGAGACACGGCCCUUACUCCUACGGGAGGCAGCAGUGGGGAAUAUUGGACAAUGGACCAAGAGUCUGAUCCAGCAAUUCUGUGUGCACGAUGAAGUUUUUCGGAAUGUAAAGUGCUUUCAGUUGGGAAGAAAAAAAUGACGGUACCAACAGAAGAAGUGACGGCUAAAUACGUGCCAGCAGCCGCGGUAAUACGUAUGUCACAAGCGUUAUCCGGAUUUAUUGGGCGUAAAGCGCGUCUAGGUGGUUAUAUAAGUCUGAUGUGAAAAUGCAGGGCUCCACUCUGUAUUGCGUUGGAAAACUGUGUAACUAGAGUACUGGAGAGGUAUUCGGAACUACAUGUGUAGAGGUGAAAUUUCGUAUAUAUUUUGAGGAAUGCCCCUGGGGAAGCCAGCCAAUGAAUUGAAUAAUGAUGCUGAAGCGAGAAAGC
Molecule: ribosomal RNA, 708 nt
Filed under: uncultured Fusobacterium sp.
Lineage: Bacteria; Fusobacteriati; Fusobacteriota; Fusobacteriia; Fusobacteriales; Fusobacteriaceae
Description: bacterial SSU rRNA
Rfam family: Bacterial small subunit ribosomal RNA
Source: RNAcentral